CUUGCUCCUCUGACGUUAGCGGCGGACGGGUGAGUAACACGUGGAUAACCUACCUAUAAGACUGGGAUAACUUCGGGAAACCGGAGCUAAUACCGGAUAAUAUAUUGAACCGCAUGGUUCAAUAGUGAAAGACGGUUUUGCUGUCACUUAUAGAUGGAUCCGCGCCGCAUUAGCUAGUUGGUAAGGUAACGGCUUACCAAGGCAACGAUGCGUAGCCGACCUGAGAGGGUGAUCGGCCACACUGGAACUGAGACACGGUCCAGACUCCUACGGGAGGCAGCAGUAGGGAAUCUUCCGCAAUGGGCGAAAGCCUGACGGAGCAACGCCGCGUGAGUGAUGAAGGUCUUCGGAUCGUAAAACUCUGUUAUUAGGGAAGAACAAAUGUGUAAGUAACUAUGCACGUCUUGACGGUACCUAAUCAGAAAGCCACGGCUAACUACGUGCCAGCAGCCGCGGUAAUACGUAGGUGGCAAGCGUUAUCCGGAAUUAUUGGGCGUAAAGCGCGCGUAGGCGGUUUUUU
RNAcentral lists this ribosomal RNA (520 nucleotides) under Staphylococcus epidermidis. Its description in RNAcentral is "bacterial SSU rRNA". It matches the Rfam family "Bacterial small subunit ribosomal RNA", at positions 79 to 584 of the family's 1533-position model. Lineage: Bacteria; Bacillati; Bacillota; Bacilli; Caryophanales; Staphylococcaceae. The record is from RNAcentral.